UACGUAGGUGGCGAGCGUUGUCCGGAAUUACUGGGUGUAAAGGGCGCGUAGGCGGGAAUGCAAGUCAGAUGUGAAAUCUCAAGGCUUAACCUUGAAACUGCAUCUGAAACUGUGUUUCUUGAGUGUCGGAGAGGAAAGCGGAAUUCCCCGUGUAGCGGUGAAAUGCGUAGAUAUGGGGAGGAACACCGGUGGCGAAGGCGGCUUUCUGGACGAUAACUGACGCUCAUGCACGAAAGCGUGGGGAGCAAACAGG
This 253-nucleotide ribosomal RNA is filed under the name uncultured bacterium. RNAcentral describes it as "partial 16S ribosomal RNA". It matches the Rfam family "Bacterial small subunit ribosomal RNA", at positions 524 to 776 of the family's 1533-position model. The record is from RNAcentral.